GUCUGUUUGAAGGUAUAAAAAGUUUAACCUGCCCACUGAUAAAUUUUUUAAAGGGCCGCGGUAUUCUGACUGUGCAAAGGUAGCAUAAUCGUUAGUUUUUUAAUUGGAAUCUUGUAUGAAUGGUUUGACAAAAGAAAGUCUGUCUUUAUAAUUAUUUAUUGAAUUUAACUUUUAAGUGAAAAGGCUUAAAUGAAUUAAAAAGACGAUAAGACCCUAUAAAGCUUGAUAUUAAAUUUUUAUUUAAUUGAAUUUUAAAUUAUAAUAAAGAUUUAGUAAGUGAUUAUUUAUUUUAUUGGGGUGAUAAUAAUAAAAUGAUUAUUAACUGUUAAUUUUUUUAGACAAAAAUAAAUGAAUAAAAUAUAUUUAUUAUAAAAGAUCCUGUGUUAGAGAUUAAAAGUUUAAGUUACUUUAGGGAUAACAGCGUUAUUUUUUUUGAGAGUUCUUAUCGAGAAAAAAGUUUGCGACCUCGAUGUUGAAUUAAAAUAUCUAUAUAAUUGUAGCAGUUAUAUAAGAAGGUCUGUUCGACCUUUAAAAUUUUACAUGAUUUGAGUUCAGACCGGCGUGAG
This 566-nucleotide ribosomal RNA is filed under the name Sesarmops atrorubens. RNAcentral describes it as "partial 16S ribosomal RNA". It matches the Rfam family "Bacterial large subunit ribosomal RNA", at positions 1831 to 2625 of the family's 2925-position model. The record is from RNAcentral. Lineage: Eukaryota; Metazoa; Arthropoda; Malacostraca; Decapoda; Sesarmidae.